Molecule: long non-coding RNA, 1128 nt
Organism: Cyprinus carpio (common carp)
Lineage: Eukaryota; Metazoa; Chordata; Actinopteri; Cypriniformes; Cyprinidae
Source: Ensembl
AUGACCACUUUGAAACAGAUCCUCUCGCUAAUUUGCCCAGGGGACUGGUUCUUCUUUCUGGAUCUGAAAGACGCUUACUUUCACAUUCAGAUAGCCCCCUGCCACAGGCGCGUCUUGAGAUUCGCCUUCGAGAGAGUGGCAUAUCAAUAUACGGUCCUGCCAUUCGGUCUGUCUCUAGCCCCAUGCACUUUCACGAAGUGCAUAGAUAUGGCUCUCUCCCCUCUGAGACAGAUGGAAAUCCGCAUUCUGAAUUACCUCAACGACUGGCUUAUUUUAGCCCAGUCAAAGCUAAUAUCCCACAGAUCCUUCCUCCUCAUCCACUUAGAGUGCUUGGGGCUCAGGCUCAAUUCCCAGCCAACGAAUCUCAUUUCUGGGGGCUGUCUUCGACUCAUCCCAAAUGAGAGCUGUAGCCCUGCCAGAACGUGUACUGGCUAUACAACAGCUGAUGACCGCCUUCACAAUUUGCGCGUCUCUUCCUCUCAGAGUGUUUCAGAGGAUGCUGGGCCUUAUGGCCUCUGCAUCACCAGUACUGCAGUUAGGCCUCCUUCAAAUGCGGCCCCUUCAGCACUGGCUGAAACCUCUAGUUCCAUCCUGAGCUUGGGGUCACGGACGCCUUUGUAUCAAGGUGGAUCGAGCCUGCGUCGUAGUCCUUGCCCCUUGGAAGGACCCUUCAUGGGUCAAACAAUGCGUACCCCUGGGGAUGAUACACAAAAGGAAGCUCAUCUUCACAGAUGCGUCAAAGACUCUGGCAGACCAGCCUUUGGCACGUGGUGGAGCGAAGAGAUAAAGCUGCACAUCAACUGCCUGGAAAUGCUGGCAAUAUGGCAGGCCUUACAGUCCUUCCUACCACAUUUAGAAGGAUGCCACAUCUUAGUCCGAUCGUACAACAUGACGGUAGUAUCCUAUAUAAAUCGCCAAGGCAGCCUUUCCUCCCCACACCUUUUCAGAAUGGCAAAGAGCCUUCUGGAGUGGGCACAUUGCAACCUGCACUCUCUGAAAGCAGCACACGUGCCAGGCAAACUGAAUUGGGGAGCAGACAUGCUGUCUCGGAGCAACAUUCCCUCUGGCGAGUGGAUGCUCCAUCCCCAGACAGUUCGGAGAAUUUGGGAGAUCUUCAGCAGAGGUUGA